RNAcentral lists this ribosomal RNA (465 nucleotides) under uncultured bacterium. RNAcentral describes it as "partial 16S ribosomal RNA". It matches the Rfam family "Bacterial small subunit ribosomal RNA", at positions 28 to 507 of the family's 1533-position model. The record is from RNAcentral.
GAUGAACGCUGGCGGCGUGCUUAACACAUGCAAGUCGAACGAUGAAGCCCAGCUUGCUGGGUGGAUUAGUGCGAACGGGUGAGUAAAACGUGAGUAACCUGACCUUAACCCUGGGAUAAGACUGGGAAACUGGGUCUAAUACCGGAUAGGAGCGUCCACCGCACGGUGGGUGUUGGUAAGAUUUAUCGGUUUUGGAUGGACUCGCGGCCUAUCAGCUUGUUGGUGAGGUAAUGGCUCACCAAGGCGACGACGGGUAGCCCGCCUGAGAGGGUGACCGGCCACACUGGGACUGAGACACGGCCCAGACUCCUACGGGAGGCAGCAGUGGGGAAUAUUGCACAAUGGGCGCAAGCCUGAUGCAGCGACGCCGCGUGAGGGAUGACGGCCUUCGGGUUGUAAACCUCUUUCAGUAGGGAAGAAGCGAAAGUGACGGUACCUUCAGAAGAAGCCCCGGCUAACUACGUG